CAAUAGCGUAUAUUAAAGUUGUUGCAGUUAAAAAGCUCGUAGUUGAAGAUACGAACGCUUACACUAGGACAAAGUUUCCGGUGUCUGCGUUCACUUUUCGCAAAGACAGCCUGGCCCAUUAGUUUGGGUCUUGUUUGAGCUGCGUCAUUUACUGUGAACAAAUUAGGGUGUUUAAAGCAGGCCUACGUUUGAAUACACUAGCAUGGAAUAAUAAGAUAUGAUCUUGGUCGUAUUUUGUUGGUGACUACCAAGAUAAUGAUUGAUAGAAACUGUUGUGGGUAUUCGUAUGAGCAUGUCAGAGGUGAAAUUCUUGGAUUUUGAUCAGACGAACUACUGCGAAAGUAUUUACCAAGGAUGUUUUCAUUAA
RNAcentral lists this ribosomal RNA (367 nucleotides) under uncultured eukaryote. RNAcentral describes it as "partial 18S ribosomal RNA". It matches the Rfam family "Eukaryotic small subunit ribosomal RNA", at positions 592 to 976 of the family's 1831-position model. The record is from RNAcentral.